RNAcentral lists this ribosomal RNA (253 nucleotides) under uncultured bacterium. Its description in RNAcentral is "partial 16S ribosomal RNA". It matches the Rfam family "Bacterial small subunit ribosomal RNA", at positions 524 to 776 of the family's 1533-position model. The record is from RNAcentral.
UACGUAGGGGGCUAGCGUUGUCCGGAAUCAUUGGGCGUAAAGAGCGUGUAGGCGGUCCGGUAAGUCCGCUGUGAAAGUCGGGGGCUCAACCCUCGAAUGCCGGUGGAUACUGUCGGGCUAGAGUGCGGAAGAGGCGAGUGGAAUUCCUGGUGUAGCGGUGAAAUGCGCAGAUAUCAGGAGGAACACCUAUUGCGAAGGCAGCUCGCUGGGACGUAACUGACGCUGAGGUGCGAGAGCGUGGGGAGCGAACCGG